This 236-nucleotide ribosomal RNA is filed under the name Rhodococcus sp. PE3 KH8. RNAcentral's name for it is "partial 16S ribosomal RNA". It matches the Rfam family "Bacterial small subunit ribosomal RNA", at positions 85 to 322 of the family's 1533-position model. Lineage: Bacteria; Bacillati; Actinomycetota; Actinomycetes; Mycobacteriales; Nocardiaceae. The record is from RNAcentral.
GGGUACACGAGCGGCGAACGGGUGAGUAACACGUGGGUGAUCUGCCCUGCACUUCGGGAUAAGCCUGGGAAACUGGGUCUAAUACCGGAUAUGACCUCAGGUUGCAUGACUUGGGGUGGAAAGAUUUAUCGGUGCAGGAUGGGCCCGCGGCCUAUCAGCUUGUUGGUGGGGUAAUGGCCUACCAAGGCGACGACGGGUAGCCGACCUGAGAGGGUGACCGGCCACACUGGGACUGA